GAUGAACGCUAGCUACGAGGCUUAACACAUGCAAGUCGAGCGAAGCGCCGUUACUUGAUUUACGUUCGGGAUGAAAGUAUUGUGACUGAGCGGCGGACGGGUGAGUAACGCGUGGAUAACCUGCCUCAUACAGGGGGAUAACAGUUAGAAAUGACUGCUAAAUACCGCAUAAGACCACAGCACCACAUGGUGCAGGGGUAAAGACUCCGGUGGUAUGAGAUGGAUCCGCGUCUGAUUAGCUAGUUGGUAAGGUAACGGCUUACCAAGGCAACGAUCAGUAGCCGACCUGAGAGGGUGACCGGCCACAUUGGGACUGAGACACGGCCCAA
This 329-nucleotide ribosomal RNA is filed under the name uncultured bacterium. RNAcentral describes it as "bacterial SSU rRNA". It matches the Rfam family "Bacterial small subunit ribosomal RNA", at positions 28 to 334 of the family's 1533-position model. The record is from RNAcentral.